UCGGGCAAUCAGGAAAGACCACAGAACUUGCACAUACAUACACUUCAACCAACCUUAAACUUCAUUCAAUAACACAUGCCAGACCAAAUACAUAUGUUUCUAGAUACAUGUAUGAAACGACCAUAUACAAGGAGGUUGUGCCACAAAAGGUUCUGUACAUAUGUUUUUAGAUGUGUCACACAACCAAAAUGAAAAUAAAAUGGCUUAUGUACCAAAACAACCACCAAAUAAGCAUAGUAAAACUUGCCAAUGUCUCUGGGUUCAGCAACCGAGGCAUAUAUCACUUGACCAAAUUAACUGUAGGUCUUCCAAACCUCCAGCAGCUUGCAGAUCUUCCAGAACUCAUCAACUUGUGUACCCUUGGGAAACCUGCAACGGAUAGGAAACUCAAAAUGGGGCUCUUAUUUCAGAUUUUAAAUUGACACAUCAAAGAUUUUGACAUGCUGCAGUUUAACUCAUCAGCAUAAAUAAAAAUCUUCUAAAUGUGUAACACUUCAUCACAGCAAGCAAUCAUUAUUAUAUAAUUAGAAUAAUCAUAUUAAUUGAGAGGACUUCUUCAAUCAGAUCAAGUAUUGUUUACAUACUAGAGGCUACGAUUUGUAUCCGUAAGCUGGCCAUGUGGUAAAGGUAAUGAAAUAGGACCUGGAACCUGGAUAUGAGGUGAUGAGAGAACCCAUGAAAUACAUCUUUAUCUGAACUGAAGUAGAUAAAUAUGACCAUAUCUCAACUAAUUUUGGAAAGCAGGCCAAAUGUCAUAUCUAGCACUAGUAGACAAUAGCUAGUGUAACCAUUGAGAUUUCCUUGAAAUAUCAAAAAAGAAUCUCCCACAAAUUCUGAAGAGCGGCAUGUGGCCCUUUUUAUCGAAAAUGGGGGCCAUGUGGCCCCUUUUAUCGAAAAAAUAACAAAUUAUGUUACCCUAUUUUUGAGAUAUGGAAAACUAAUAGAAAGAAAUACUAUAUUAAAACCGUAUUAAAAACCAUGGAGUUAUUGCCAAUACAGAUUAUUUUGAACCAAUCAGAUAAAGCAUAACUGCAAAAACAAAGAGGAAGUGGUACCUAAAGACAGAGCAUGUAACCACGUGGCAUAUGUGGUUAGCAACUCAAAACUUGAUAAACGAUUUAAAACAGAAUAUGUGGCCUUUGGUCGUAGCUGGCUAGUGGCUACAAAGAACACAAACCAAUGCAUCUUAUAAGCUUGCUUGUGGUAGCAUUGCUACAAACAGAAAUCAAUCAUUAUACAUGAUAUAGUUAUGGAAAGAAAUGCAUCAAUUAUACAUGAUAUGGAAGAAAACGUAUCAUUCUACAUAAUAUGGUUAUUGAAAGAAAUGGAUCGAUUAGUACUCAAAUGUUGACAUCAAAGUAACUGAGCAAAGUAAAAGCAACUAUAUCACUUCUGUUUAUGACUAGAACUGAACCAAUAGACAUCCUAUAGGAAGAGCCUGACACUUAUCUGCUUCCAACUGCAUACACAGAAGCUUUUGCCACUGGGCUACCAUGCUCCCGAUAAACAUUAUACAGUAGCACAUCCCUUCCUUGCUGAGUAAAUCAGACUUCAAGAAACACAAACAAACACCUGAGAAUAAUCACACAAUUUCAACACUAUAUAACAUAAUUUCUACAUCCGAAACAGCUGAGCGUAAGAAAAUUGUAACACUAUAUUAGUGCCCAUUACAAGAUUACUAAUGGCUGAAUGAUAAAAAUAGCAAAGAAAUCUCACCGUUGGUUGAGAAGUACAGGAGGCGGUGAAGCCGAUACCGUAGGUGUCACUGCUCAGGCGGGGAAGUAGAGGUGAGGCGACACUGCUUGGGGGCGGGGAUGGAGAUGAGGUGCUAUCCAGACGUAGUCUACACAGCACUGCUUGGUGCAGAGGACGAAUAGGAGGCAUGCUGCGAGAAAGAGAGGAGUACCAAUUACACAACAUAACAUACAAAUCGAAGGACCAAAUCAAGGGUGCAGACUGAAAUAAUGUACUGUACAUAAUAGAGUUAACACUGAGUUCUAGCUCCAAGUCAAAUAUCUUUCAGGUGCAAAUAGGCAAACAUGCUCAGUUCAAAAACAAUGCAUUGAGUUAAACAUUUGUACAGAGUCUCUAGGAAUGACAUAGAAGAUUUCUUGCACAUGCUCAUGCUCAUUUUGUACAUGCUCAUUUUGUAAACUGCAUUACUGUACUUUACAGAGUUGAGGGCAUGCAAAUUAUUGGACAGAGUCUCAUUCCAUUUUGUACAGACUCCAGUUUUUGUACAACAUCUCCAGAAUUUUUGCACAUGCUCAUUUAGUAAACUUCAGUACUGUAGAGAGCUGAGGGCAUGAAAAUUCUUGGAAACAUAAAAACAAAGAUACAAAAUAUGUUUAUGUCGUCCACCACUCUACCUCAACGACCCAGCUGGCGUGAAAGAAUAAGAAACUAUAUUAGUAACCACAACCGACAGCAUUCUUUUCUAAUUGAUUUGCUUUUGUGGUGAGAGUGUGAAGCAUGAUUGCAAAUAUUAAAAAGCAUCAUCUCUGGAGAACAUAGCGCAGUAGACUAAACAAGUGGGCUGAUGACGUAAAAUAAUUAGCUUUCUUUCAUCUCACAACUGAACUACAAAGCUCAACUAAACAACUUAGUUCGGUGUCAACGAAUCUAGUUAAGGUAUGCACUUGUUAAUCACCAGACUUCCCUGUCCUUCGAUCUGAAGGGCUACUAAUAGUACUUAGUUUUCAUCUAUGUUUAUUUUCAAGUUCUGUUUUCAAACAAUGCAAAUAACCUUUGAAGGUGUUUGGAUCGUGGUUUUGUUGUCAUUGUCAGAUCAAAUUAAUUAAAAAGGAUGAUUUGUUCUAACUGCUAGAAUAGUUAAGUGCUACUGUUCGAGAUUUUUUUUUGAGGGAUGCUACUGUUCGAGAUUACAUACAUGUGUAGCUGCACAUUCAGAUGUUAAAAAGAGACAGGAGUUGAAAUCUCACCUAUGAAGAGGAUUAGAGGACUCUGGUGAAAGGAAGUAUAGGACGCAGCUGCCUAGGGAAAGGAUGUUGAGGAGACAGAGCCGCUCGCUGGAGGGAGGACGCCCCGCUGCUGGGGGAGACGACGUAGAGGAAGCUGCCCCGCUCGAUACUGGGGAGAAGGCUCGCUCGGUGUGGACCAAGCUCGUGGUGGAGGAGGGUGGUCGCCGGUGGAGUGGUUCCGCGACGUGGCUGGCCGGCGCCGGUGGCGUCGUCCGUGUCCUCGGCGGCGCUGUGAUGUGGGGUCGGCGGCGGCGGCAGUCUGCAGCGGUGGGGUGUGGAGGGCGGAGUCUGCAGCAGUGGCGGGCAGUGGUUGGGGCCGACAGGGGCGGCGGGGGCGGCGGUGGUGUGGUGGAGGGCGCGGUCGGCGGUGGUGGGGGUGUGGCUAGGGUUGGCGGCGGAUGUGGUCUGGAUCGAUUUGGGGAUAAAGUGGAUUGAAGUCCGUGGGUGGGGGCACGGGGCUG
This 3442-nucleotide long non-coding RNA is filed under the name Triticum aestivum (bread wheat). Its description in RNAcentral is "long non-coding RNA (TAES_LNC015671)". Lineage: Eukaryota; Viridiplantae; Streptophyta; Magnoliopsida; Poales; Poaceae. The record is from RNAcentral.